CAUCUUUUAGCUCAGCUCAGCUCAAAUCGAGGAUUAAGGCAUGUUCCUAGCAGGGAGGCUAUUCAGAGAUCCUACUUCAGCAGUUUAAGAUUCACCUAAGCUGACUCUGCCGCUGCCCCACCUCUGACCAUGACAAUCCAACACUGAAUCCUGCUGAAGUUUUUCCUUUGAAAAUAACGUUGUGGGUGACUUCUGAAUGAAAAGUGGAUUGGGUACAUGAAUUUAUCUCUUUUCCGAAAUGCCACUAAAAUGGCAGCCAAGGUGAAGGCUGGAUGGCCACUCGCUUGGGACAGCACAGAGGAGAUUUGGGCAUUGGACAGGGCUGGAAUGAAAGUUCCAUGAAGAGUUUUCCAACUGAG
Lagenorhynchus albirostris (white-beaked dolphin) is the source of this 359-nucleotide long non-coding RNA. RefSeq lists it as uncharacterized. Lineage: Eukaryota; Metazoa; Chordata; Mammalia; Artiodactyla; Delphinidae. The transcript is spliced from 3 exons. The record is from RefSeq and is a predicted model, not a curated record.